This is a long non-coding RNA of Aethalodelphis obliquidens (Pacific white-sided dolphin), 3354 nucleotides long. RefSeq lists it as uncharacterized. NCBI's taxonomy places the organism in Eukaryota, Metazoa, Chordata, Mammalia, Artiodactyla, Delphinidae. The transcript has 6 exons. The record is from RefSeq and is a predicted model, not a curated record.
UUGUGUUUGUUUGUACCAUCAACUAUUCAAAUGUUCUAAAAAUUGGCUUAUUGAAGGGCUUGGCAAACAACUUGUAAAAAUGAACACUCUCACCUAUUUUGCCUUCAUUUUGAUGAUUAGCGAUUGUGUAUUCUCUUUUUUUCAGUGUCUCGACAAUGUCAUGGAAGAGGCAGUGUGGAGAUGUUGCUAUGGAAGAUGUUGAGUGAGGGCUGAAGGAGGCUACUUCAUUCACAGACGUCCACUCACCUGGCUAUGCACGUUCAUCUGGAAUGGAAGGUGGUGACUAAGGAACCAGCAGAUAAGAGAUUUGUAUCUUUUAGGGUUGACCUAUAUAUUUUAUCCCCAAGAAGUUGGAGGUGAGAAAAUUCAUACUUUUAUUUAUAUUAAUCAAUCAUUUUAAUUAAAUAUAACCAGUGUACUCAAAACCUAAGUGCCUCCUGUUUCAAAGAAAAUACUGUUUUAUCUUCUCUCUAGACCAUGCCACUUCAUACAUCCUGUGGAUAAUAUUAAACAUGUGAUAACUGGCAUUAUCCUGCCCUUGAGAAACUUGUCUAAUUGGGGAGAAGAGACCUCACAUGUGGAACAAUCCAGAAGUACUUAAGGCACCUACCAUAAAGGCUUAACACAUUAAAGAACUGAGAAUUAUUUGGCUAUAACAGAGAAUCUGCUAAAUUAAUGGCAUGGCCAAUACAUGCCAUAUUUCCAAAGAGGGUGCUAGGACUAUGGGCCAAAAUUACCUGGGAAUGUUCGAGAAGGCAGUGAGUGUGUAAGCUGAACUUUAAGGAAAUCUGUAGGAAUUGAAGGGGUAGAGGAGAAAAACAAGGGCAUUCUAGGUGGCAAGGCUGCUGCAUGCCCGUCCCCAGGUAGGUCCGGGAGGAAUUGGAGAGGUUGGAAAAGGGGUUGGAGAGGCAGGUUAGGCAAGGCCUUGAGUGCUUUCAUAAAAGUUUACACCGGGUUCUUCAGGUAAAGGCAGCAUUUUUCUUUUUUUUUAGAUCAGAGUGGUGGCAGGUACGAAAGUAUAGGCUGAGGGGCACUGGCUGUGGUGAACAGGAUGUUCUGGGUGAUACAGGGACAGGGAAUAGGGUGUCCGGCUGGGGAGGUCCUUUAAUGGACCCAGCAGUGAGAGAAGAGGGCAGGAGAAUGAUGAGUAGCCCCCUUAAGUGCCAGAUGCCUUUCAUAUAUGAUCCCGUUUGUUUUUAUCCUCUGGAAAUCCUGCACAGUGGCUAUGACUCUCCUUACUUCAAAGAUGAAGAAACUGAAGCUUGGGCAAGUAUGAUAAUGAGCUUCACGUCAAAAGACUACUAUUUUAGUAGAACUUUCCUUGGCUCUAAAUCCCCUGUUCUUUCCACUUUGUCAGGCUGCUGGGAGCUCAUAAGCACAAAGUUACUGCAUGUCCUGAUUCAACCUCCACGUUGCAACUGCCAACAACAGAGCUUGUAUCCCCCUCACAGACACACAAACGCGGUCAGCUCAUCACUCCCACGCUUCCCAAGAGGCUGGGAAAGCGAAUCAGAACGUUAAUUGAAGUCCUCUCCUUCCUGAGUUCCACCGUGGUGAUCCCACGAUAUCACACACCUAUGUCCUAUACACAACACCCUCCCAGGAAUGAUGGCCUUAUCCUGGAAUGAUGUGUUUAGUGUCUCUCCCACACCUGAUUGAGAGCUGUUUGAGGAUGAUUGCUUAAAAAAAAAAAAUAUAUAUAUAUAUGUAUAUGCUUUCCUAAGUUCUGGAUCUUCAUCUAACACCUUGAUAUGCCUAACGGAAGUAUACAGUAAGCACUCUGACUACAUCUAUAGCACAAUAAACAACCAGGCAUUUCAAACAAAUAUUCGCAAGAAAAUCAGUGGAUUCAAAUAUUCAGAUUAAACAAUUGGACACGUGGAUUUAAUGUGGAUGGUCCCCUGUUGUGAAGGCUUAGUAUUUGUAGGUGCUCAUCUUAUACAAUGAGGAAACUGAGGACUAACGAAGUUUAUGAAUAAGCCCCAAAUCAUCUAACAAUUUUACAGAUGCCAAAACCACGAGUAAAUGGAAGAAAUUAACUACUUGAUGAUUGUAAGUAGCCCCCAGACCUUCUGGCGCCUAAGGAUUGAUCACCAUCAACCAAUCAGAGAAUUGUACACGAGUACUGUGAUGUACCUUUAUGGAUAAACAAUGACUCAUCAAACUGAGUUGCCUGCCUCAAAACUCCAGCUGUAUGGCUUGUGGGCAGGACUUGAACCAGACCGACUCGAGGCUAUCACCCCAAACUGUAUAAUUACCGCAAGUUAAGAGGAAAGAAAAAUGAAUCUCAAAGAUAUCAAAUAAUAGACCUAUACUACGAUCUCACAGCUGACAAGAAUCCAACCUAAGAGUCAAACCCUCCAAAUGCUGGGCCUGUUUUUCACAGCAUUUUUUCUCCUUUCAAAGAAUAAGAACAAAGUCACACUGCAUUAGUGGCCACAUCUGGCUCUAAGACACUUCCUUUCUGUCAGCAUCAGAAUGAAGAGAGGCAGAGCUACUGAAGGUCAUCAAUCAUCUGGAAGAAACCCUGAAUGGGGCCCAUUAGCCAUAAAAACAAGAUGUUUUGGGACACCUUUCAGAAAUUCUCUUUCAGUGACCUUCACAAUACAAUGACGACCUUGUCUCUGUUAUCAAAGGACUGUCAGCAAGCACUUAAGGAACUCACCUGCCUGCUAAAAUGCCACACAGACCAAUGGAAAAUUUCCCUCAAUCAGGAGCAGAAUGUCAGGGGCUCCUCCUGAUUCCACAAGAUCGGGAGACAGCCUAGCACAGCUCGGGGGCCGCUGCCUGUCCGUCUGACCUUUGUCAGCAUCGACGUGACCAGCCAUGGUAAGAAUUUAACAAGGAAACCACUAAGGUCCUUCCCCUCUCCAUUGCCUUUGAGAAUACUUAACAUUUUCACUUUCAGCUACAAAAGCAAACCUUUAUUUUAAGGGCAAGUCAUUUCUCCAUAGGAGACUCAGAGAAAGUUGAAAGCCUUCAGUCAACUAAACAAUGUUGGAAUCAACCAUUAUCGGAUAUUAUCCCAUAUGCUUUAUAUAAAUUAUUGCAUUUAAGCCUAUGGAAAAGCACAGGUGAGGAUCCUGGGUUUCUGCGCAUGUAAAUAGUUUAAAAGGCUUGUCCUAGCAUCAGCUGCUAGUUGGGGGCGAGCUCUCUUUCUAUGGUACCAAGUUCCAUCCCAGAAAACCUCCUACAGAGAGUUUAAGAACAAAACACAGACAAGUAGGCAGGAAGUGUCAGGGAACCUGAUGUAACCUAGCAGGACCCUAUGAGGUCUUCCCAGAAAACACCCCCACCCAUGUCCUCCGCCUGCCUUUUGCCUGCAGAAAAACUUUAGUCAAAGAAUAAACUUAA